RNAcentral lists this ribosomal RNA (352 nucleotides) under Umbra krameri (European mudminnow). RNAcentral's name for it is "partial 12S ribosomal RNA". It matches the Rfam family "Bacterial small subunit ribosomal RNA", at positions 801 to 1360 of the family's 1533-position model. Lineage: Eukaryota; Metazoa; Chordata; Actinopteri; Esociformes; Umbridae. The record is from RNAcentral.
AAAUUUUGAUAAAAAUAUACAACUUAUAUCCGCCAGGGGACUACAAGCGUUAGCUUAAAACCCAAAGGACUUGGCGGUGCCUCAGACCCCCCUAGAGGAGCCUGUUCUAGAACCGAUAAUCCCCGCUUAACCUCACCCUUCCUUGCCUUUCCCGCCUAUAUACCACCGUCGCCAGCUUACCCUGUGAAGGACACAUAGUAAGCAAAAUGGGCACAACCCAGAACGUCAGGUCGAGGUGUAGCGAAUGGAAGGGGAAGAAAUGGGCUACAUUCUCUAACCAGAGAAAACGAAUUACGCUGUGAAACCAGUGUUUAAAGGUGGAUUUAGCAGUAAACAGGAAACAGAGAGUUCU